GACGAACGCUGGCGGCGUGCUUAACACAUGCAAGUCGAACGGAAAGGCCCUGCUUUUGUGGGGUGCUCGAGUGGCGAACGGGUGAGUAACACGUGAGUAACCUGCCCUUGACUUUGGGAUAACUUCAGGAAACUGGGGCUAAUACCGGAUAGGAGCUCCUGCUGCAUGGUGGGGGUUGGAAAGUUUCGGCGGUUGGGGAUGGACUCGCGGCUUAUCAGCUUGUUGGUGGGGUAGUGGCUUACCAAGGCUUUGACGGGUAGCCGGCCUGAGAGGGUGGCCGGCCACAUUGGGACUGAGAUACGGCCCAGACUCCUACGGGAGGCAGCAGUGGGGGAUAUUGCACAAUGGGCGGAAGCCUGAUGCAGCAACGCCGCGUGCGGGAUGACGGCCUUCGGGUUGUAAACCGCUUUCGCCUGUGACGAAGCGUGAGUGACGGUAAUGGGUAAAGAAGCACCGGCUAACUACGUGCCAGCAGCCGCGGUGAUACGUAGGGUGCGAGCGUUGUCCGGAUUUAUUGGGCGUAAAGGGCUCGUAGGUGGUUGAUCGCGUCGGAAGUGUAAUCUUGGGGCUUAACCCUGAGCGUGCUUUCGAUACGGGUUGACUUGAGGAAGGUAGGGGAGAAUGGAAUUCCUGGUGGAGCGGUGGAAUGCGCAGAUAUCAGGAGGAACACCAGUGGCGAAGGCGGUUCUCUGGGCCUUUCCUGACGCUGAGGAGCGAAAGCGUGGGGAGCGAACAGGCUUAGAUACCCUGGUAGUCCACGCUGUAAACGGUGGGUACUAGGUGUGGGGUCCAUUCCACGGGUUCCGUGCCGUAGCUAACGCUUUAAGUACCCCGCCUGGGGAGUACGGCCGCAAGGCUAAAACUCAAAGGAAUUGACGGGGCCCCGCACAAGCGGCGGAGCAUGCGGAUUAAUUCGAUGCAACGCGUAGAACCUUACCUGGGUUUGACAUGGAUCGGGAGCGCUCAGAGAUGGGUGUGCCUCUUUUGGGGUCGGUUCACAGGUGGUGCAUGGCUGUCGUCAGCUCGUGUCGUGAGAUGUUGGGUUAAGUCCCGCAACGAGCGCAACCCUUGUUCACUGUUGCCAGCACGUUAUGGUGGGGACUCAGUGGAGACCGCCGGGGUCAACUCGGAGGAAGGUGGGGAUGACGUCAAGUCAUCAUGCCCCUUAUGUCCAGGGCUUCACGCAUGCUACAAUGGCUGGUACAGAGAGUGGCGAGCCUGUGAGGGUGAGCGAAUCUCGGAAAGCCGGUCUCAGUUCGGAUUGGGGUCUGCAACUCGACCUCAUGAAGUCGGAGUCGCUAGUAAUUGCAGAUCAGCAACGCUGCGGUGAAUACGUUCCCGGG
RNAcentral lists this ribosomal RNA (1343 nucleotides) under uncultured bacterium. RNAcentral's name for it is "16S ribosomal RNA". It matches the Rfam family "Bacterial small subunit ribosomal RNA", at positions 28 to 1378 of the family's 1533-position model. The record is from RNAcentral.